AAUAUAUCACAUAUAUUUAUUUUUCUGUGAACUUUUUAACCGUAGUUCCCUCCGAGAAUUUGCUGCUCUCUCAACGGCAACAAUAACCUUUGGUUCUCUGCUGUUCAUCAUUUUGAACAAGUUAAAUUAACGGACACUAACGGAUACGAAAUUUGACAAAACUCGCUCAGAUACAGGUGAAGGUCUCAGGAUGGAUCAGUUUGAGGAUGACGUCACUGAGGAAGAGCAGCAGUCACCUGGUCAGUCAGAUCUGCCCACAGGAAGCCAGGAUCAGGUGCAGGACCAGGAGACGCCAACCCAGAGUCAAGACAGUGGUGAUGAGUGGGACACUGACCUGGAAACAGACAAUGGCUCAAAUCAGAAACCGAGUUUGUCCCAUGCAGAGCUCUACCUGCAGGCUUGUCAUCAGUUGGGGUGCAUUCCUGCAUCCUCCUUCCUGCAACAAUUGGAUAAGGCCAAUAUCAACCUGAACCACUAUGGCUUGGGACCUCGUGGGGCCAAAGCUCUGGCCAUAGCUCUGCAAAAUAACAAUAGCAUCACCAACCUUGAGCUUGAGGCCAACAGAAUUGGGGCCAAGGGGACACAGUCUCUGAUGGAGAUGCUUCUAGCAAACAACACCAUCAACAGUCUAAAUCUUUCCAUGAACAAGCUGGGCCUUGAAGGAGCGGACAGCAUUUCUAAAAUGCUGUCAGACAAUUAUUACGUCAAAUACAUCAAACUCUCAGGAAAUGAUUUUGAUGAUACUGCUGCUAAACAAUUGGCUGAUGCUUUAGAGGCUGACCAGGUGGUCAAAGAGCUGGACCUCAGUAACAACAAUUUCAGUGAAGCAGGAGGAGUACACCUGGGGCAUAUGCUAGCCACAAAUGUAGGUAUUGAAGACCUAAAUUUGAGCUGGAACCGCCUUAACAUGGGAGGUGCAGUGGCUUUGUGUGCUGGGCUGAAGGCGAACUCGACUCUGAAGCAGCUCCAUUUAUCGUGGAAUGGUUUCGGCCACAUCGAGGCAGAGUUCCUGGGUCAAGUACUGAAACAAAACAGCACACUGGUGCUGCUGGACCUCAGCUGGAACCGGAUAGACGACGAGGCUGUGAAACUUCUCUGCCAGGGCCUGGCCACCAACAGCACCCUCAGGGUCCUCAAGCUCUCCGACAACCCCAUGACAAAAAUCGGAGCCCUUAUGUUGCUCAAAACAGUCAAAAACAACAUGAAAUCCGCCCUGGAGGAGAUCGAUAUCUCUACAGUGCUUGUGUGUGAGGCCUUUGUGGAGCUGUUGGAAGAAGCCCGUCAGAAGCGUCCUGCUCUGGAUGUUCGGCACACCGCCUUGAGCUCUGUCACCAGGAACGUAGCGGCCCUCAAGAUCUUUCUGAAAUUCCUUGAAGAGCGAAAUGAGAGCUUCAUGGAUUUCUUUAAAGCUUUAGAUAAAGAAGGAAGCAUGAAGAUCUCCAACUCUCUCUUCAGGGAGGCUGUUAAGGCAGCCAACGUUCCUCUGGAUCGGCAGCAGGUUGAGUGGUUGAUCAGGAAGUUUGACAAGGACCGCACAGCCUACAUCACCUACAGUCAGUUUGCUGAGCUGUCAUAGAUAUAGGGAUGUACAGCACCACCGAGAUGAGGAGGAAAACAUCUUCAUAUAAAAGAAAGACAUCUUCUUAUUAAAGCAAAUUAUAAUUGUUGUUCAGACAUUUGUGUAGGUGCUGGCAGAGAAACAAAGACGUACAUUAGGACCCAUUGUCCCCUGUGAUUAUUAAAGUAAACAGAAAUACUGAAGGGGUAUCAUACACAGCUGCACACACUCGAGCCGGUGUUUGUGAAGUGGGAGAAAGGGCCAAGCAACCCUUAAGACUUUGUCAGAGAUGAUCCCAUUAUUUGGAGCUUCUCAAGAGCCGAGCGGUAGGCUGGCUAAUGAGGCUUUGAAGAUGGCUCUUGGGCACAGGAUUCAUCGGCAGCAGAGAAUUUGGGAGCAAAAUAGACUUGGCACGAGAUAAAAUGCUUCAGCCAAGAUCGGCCGAGGAGACGUUCCCUGCCUCAGACCCAUUUUGCCGUUGUCAUGAUUUUGAAUCCUUUUCAAAAAGACAAAGUCCGCUCUUGGAAGAUAAAACUUGAGAUAAAAUCAAUGUCAACAGUUUGUCUUGUGCAGUCUACAUAUACAACCUCAGACAUGUUUAAAGGUCGUGGUAUGAGCGAACAAUUCAAGGCCCACAGAGAUUUAAUUUAGAAUCAAACUGUAAGACCAACUAGAGUAGGAAAACUUAACAUUUGAAGGCUGGAUCCUUAA
This is an RNA transcript of Centropristis striata (black sea bass), 2269 nucleotides long. It is a transcript of the gene named leucine-rich repeat-containing protein 74A-like, with no coding region annotated. The record is from RefSeq and is a predicted model, not a curated record. The transcript has 15 exons. Lineage: Eukaryota; Metazoa; Chordata; Actinopteri; Perciformes; Serranidae.